UGCAGUCGAGCGGACAGCAUGGGAGACUUGCUCCACUGAUGUUAGCGGCGGACGGGUGAGUAACACGUGGGUAACCUGCCUGUAAGACUGGGAUAACUCCGGGAAACCGGGGCUAAUACCGGAUGGUUGUUUGAACCGCAUGGUUCAGACAUAAAAGGUGGCUUCGGCUACCACUUACAGAUGGACCCGCGGCGCAUUAGCUAGUUGGUGAGGUAACGGCUCACCAAGGCAACGAUGCGUAGCCGACCUGAGAGGGUGAUCGGCCACACUGGGACUGAGACACGGCCCAGACUCCUACGGGAGGCAGCAGUAGGGAAUCUUCCGCAAUGGACGAAAGUCUGACGGAGCAACGCCGCGUGAGUGAUGAAGGUUUUCGGAUCGUAAAGCUCUGUUGUUAGGGAAGAACAAGUGCCGUUCAAAUAGGGCGGCACCUUGACGGUACCUAACCAGAAAGCCACGGCUAACUACGUGCCAGCAGCCGCGGUAAUACGUAGGUGGCAAGCGUUGUCCGGAAUUAUUGGGCGUAAAAGGGCUCGCAGGCGGUUUCUUAAGUCUGAUGUGAAAGCCCCCGGCUCAACCGGGGAGGGUCAUUGUAAACUGGGGAACU
This 607-nucleotide ribosomal RNA is filed under the name Bacillus sp. (in: firmicutes). Its description in RNAcentral is "bacterial SSU rRNA". It matches the Rfam family "Bacterial small subunit ribosomal RNA", at positions 56 to 642 of the family's 1533-position model. Lineage: Bacteria; Bacillati; Bacillota; Bacilli; Caryophanales; Bacillaceae. The record is from RNAcentral.